RNAcentral lists this ribosomal RNA (465 nucleotides) under uncultured bacterium. RNAcentral describes it as "partial 16S ribosomal RNA". It matches the Rfam family "Bacterial small subunit ribosomal RNA", at positions 28 to 507 of the family's 1533-position model. The record is from RNAcentral.
GAUGAACGCUGGCGGCGUGCUUAACACAUGCAAGUCGAACGGAAAGGCUCCUGCUUGCAGGGGUACUCGAGUGGCGAACGGGUGAGUAACACGUGGGUGAUCUGCCCUGCACUUCGGGAUAAGCCUGGGAAACUGGGUCUAAUACCGGAUAGGACUAUGGUUUGGAUGCCAUUGUGGAAAGUUUUUCGGUGUGGGAUGAGCUCGCGGCCUAUCAGCUUGUUGGUGGGGUAAUGGCCUACCAAGGCGUCGACGGGUAGCCGGCCUGAGAGGGUGUACGGCCACAUUGGGACUGAGAUACGGCCCAGACUCCUACGGGAGGCAGCAGUGGGGAAUAUUGCACAAUGGGCGCAAGCCUGAUGCAGCGACGCCGCGUGGGGGAUGACGGCCUUCGGGUUGUAAACUCCUUUCGCUAGGGACGAAGCGCAAGUGACGGUACCUGGAGAAGAAGCACCGGCUAACUACGUG